GGGCGCCGCUUGAGGGAUGAAGGCCUUCGGGUUGUAAACUUCUUUCAGCAGGGAAGAAGCGCAAGUGACCGUACCUGCAGAAGAAGCGCCGGCUAACUACGUGCCAGCAGCCGCGGUAAUACGUAGGGCGCAAGCGUUGUCCGGAAUUAUUGGGCGUAAAGAGCUCGUAGGCGGUUUGUCGCGUCUGCUGUGAAAACCUGAGGCUCAACCUCGGGCUUGCAGUGGGUACGGGCAGACUAGAGUGCGGUAGGGGUGACUGGAAUUCCUGGUGUAGCGGUGGAAUGCGCAGAUAUCAGGAGGAACACCGAUGGCGAAGGCAGGUCACUGGGCCGCAACUGACGCUGAGGAGCGAAAGCAUGGGGAGCGAACAGGAUUAGAUACCCUGGUAGUCCAUGCCGUAAACGUUGGGCACUAGGUGUGGGGCUCAUUCCACGAGUUCCGUGCCGCAGCAAACGCAUUAAGUGCCCCGCCUGGGGAGUACGGCCGCAAGGCUAAAACUCAAAGAAAUUGACGGGGGCCCGCACAAGCGGCGGAGCAUGCGGAUUAAUUCGAUGCAACGCGAAGAACCUUACCAAGGCUUGACAUACACCGGAAAAGUGCAGAGAUGUGCUCCCCGCAAGGUCGGUGUACAGGUGGUGCAUGGUUGUCGUCAGCUCGUGUCGUGAGAUGUUGGGUUAAGUCCCGCAACGAGCGCAACCCUCGUCCUAUGUUGCCAGCACGUCAUGGUGGGGACUCAUAGGAGACUGCCGGGGUCAACUCGGAGGAAGGUGGGGAUGACGUCAAAUCAUCAUGCCCCUUAUGUCUUGGGCUUCACGCAUGCUACAAUGGCCGGUACAAAGGGCUGCGAUACCGCGAGGUGGAGCGAAUCCCAAAAAGCCGGUCUCAGUUCGGAUUGGGGUCUGCAACUCGACCCCAUGAAGUCGGAGUCGCUAGUAAUCGCAGAUCAGCAACGCUGCGGUGAAUACGUUCCCGGGCCUUGUACACACCGCCCGUCAAGUCACGAAAGUCGGUAACACCCGAAGCCGGUGGCCCAACCCUUGUGGAGGGAGC
RNAcentral lists this ribosomal RNA (1050 nucleotides) under Cellulomonas sp. RNAcentral's name for it is "bacterial SSU rRNA". It matches the Rfam family "Bacterial small subunit ribosomal RNA", at positions 392 to 1453 of the family's 1533-position model. The record is from RNAcentral. Lineage: Bacteria; Bacillati; Actinomycetota; Actinomycetes; Micrococcales; Cellulomonadaceae.